GAAAACAUACGCACACAUAAAAAAAACUCCAUCGAUUAUCCAGACAAACUUCAACUACUUUUCUGCGCAACCCAUCCCCCUACCCUGAAAAUCCACUGAACCUCUCUUACCCCUUCAAUCACGUCUGAGUAUCAGUAGCGCCCAGACCUUAUCCCUAUGGAAUCCCCUCAAAUCCUCUAGAAUGCAAGCUCCAAAAUCUCUUUACCUCUGAUAUCUCACAGAGAUUAAGGCUUCAUUGUUGACUGCAGACUCAUGGUUACUUGUUUUGUUGCCCAAAAUCCCAUCUGACUCAGAACCAUCAAUCAAAUUCAGAUUAUUGAGGAUAUAUUUUCAUCUCCUUUCACCUUUGUCAAAUUUGAAUCCCUUCCAUAUCUCAAAGGUUUAAGCUUUGAAAUUCAAAAUUGAUUAUUUUCUUGCUAUAAAUAGCUGCAUCCAAUUUCGUUGAAGACAGAGAAAAACCCAGUUAAAAAACCUCAAGAAAGCCAGUAAACAUUCAUAGCCUUGGAGAUUUAGAAGCUUUUACACAAUCAGAAACUCAAGUUUAAGAUUCAAAAUAGCAUAAACACAACAUAAAUUCAAAGUUCUUCGUGAUUUUCUUUCUUGCCAAUUCAAACCCGAGCUCGAGUUUGGGUUAAAGAGGUUGUGAUCCCACUGAAACCUCGACGUCGGAGCCUCAGUUUUUCUUUCCAACACAAGGUAAAUCAUUUUCCAUCUUAAUUAUGUUAUACUUAAUUUUUGUUAAUUAUUUAGUGUGCAGUUAGCCGGGGUGAUGGCUAUCUGUUUAGAAAGUAUAAAAAAGUGAAACAAAAGUAUUUUUGGGUUUACGAUUACGUGUGUUUGUGACUUGUGAUUUUACUUGAGUAGAUUUUAUCCCAUCCAAUUAUAUUACAUUUAUUUUGGUGAUUCUGGUUUGAGUCUGUCAUUCCCAUUUAUCCGAUCAUGAAUAUAAACAUAAGAUAAAACGGUGUUUGGUCAUCUGAUUUUGUUUAUCAUGUAAUAUGUUAUGACAUAUCUUAAUUCGUGAUUUAGAUUGAAUAAUUUUAAAUAUGAAGUUUUUAUUUGGAAUGGUCUGUUUCCAUUUUGGUUGCCAGUGAAUGCAAAUAUGAACCGGCUAUAUUCCAUGUAAUUAGUUAGGAUAUUAACUGGUGGUUUUGAGCCUGAACACGUGAAGCAAAAAUCUAUUUUCGGCUCUUUGAUUCCCUAAAAUUGGUCAUUUCAUAGGUUUGUUUUGUCUUUAGAUGUGUAAUAAUACGUGGAAUAGAGUUGAUAAUAUGAGAGGUUGUGUUUGGUCGAGAAGUGUAGGACUUAAAAUCCAUCCUCUUAUCCCAUCUCUGCCUCUUUCCAUCCGUCUGUUUUUGUUCUUUGGUACAUGAUCUAUUUUGGCGUCAAGCCAUACUGAUAUUGCUAUCUACUUUCCGGAAAAGCGAGUGUUGGCAAAUCGAGUUCAACAAUACAAUUUAGCCUUGACUGUCCUUUGUUACAAUAUACAGUUGCUUUGCGUCUAAACAUACAAAUUUGCUCUUCCGUCUCACCUUCAUCAUCCUUUCUUUCAUUUUAUUUAGGUUUUGUGAACAUGUUGUUUUGAAAUAAUUUCGAUCAAAAUUUGAGUUGUUGACAUAGACUCUAGAAAACAUGGCUUUUUAUCUGAAUGUGUUUUCUGUGUAUACGUAUGUAUGUCCCUUGACCCGUCAUCGUAUUGUUGUAGAUUACUCGCGAAUAAAAAAUUGAUCAUCUUAAAUUUAUGUGGUUUCGAUGUAUGUGUCUGCUUUAUAUCUAGAAUACGCCAAAUAUAAGGAUUCCAUUUCCCUUUUCGGUGUCUAUCAGUGGAUAUAAGUUGGUGGAGAUAUGGGAAACUAUAUUUUGUUAAUGUGAAAAUCAUCUUAUUUCUCUGUUUCCGGUGAAACUUCGCCGAAACAAGUUGGACCAAGCUGCUAGUUCUCUCUUCUGUUUUUUCUCUGACUGUUCCCCAUCUUAUUCUCUCUCACCUCUCUCAUUUGUUUUCGCACGAUCUCUUUCCACUCACUAUUUUUCUCUCAUUUUCCCUGUUUUUUUUGCGUGUUUUUUUUCUAUUUCAUACUAUUUUCUUUUCUUGCUUUUCUACUGGUUUUGCCUAAGUUUAUUUGUGUGUAUUAGUAUGAGUGGGAAUGGAGGAGUAUGUGGGCGUGUGAGUGUAAUGUGGUAUGUGUUGGCAUAGUUGUGUGCGUGAGUUUUUCUCCAGUGAGUGUGAGUGUUUGUUGGUGAGUGUAUUGUUGUCUUUGUUGAAUUAAGGAGUAAUGUGAAUCACCUAGUUUCGUUUUGUUUGUGACUAUGGGGCUGCUCGUCUUUCAAAAUUCUUUAGAGUGUUUUCCAUCGAUGGACCCAAAAGACGUCUAGGAGUCGGUCUAGCCGAGUCACGUGUUUCCCUUUCAGCCAAUUGCGUUUUAAGGGCAAAUUAACUGUCAUUAUUCAAGUUCAAAAUUUAGUACUUCUUAGACUUGUGUUGUAUAAAUAAGAUAAGUGGUCAGGAGUCUCUUAAAAUUGGUGUUUGAUUCAUAUUUCUACAUGAACAUGUGUUGUCCUUUGUAGUUUUUAUUUUCCUCAAUUUGUGAGUUUCUCUGUUUGGGUCUAGAGCUCUUUAUUUUAUUUUUAGUAGGUAGAAUUAUUUUUUUCUCUGUAGCCAUCCAUAUCAUGUCAAAUAUGUUAUAACUUAUAUGAAUUUGAAAUUUUCUUGGGUGAUAGGUUUUUAAGGAGUCAUGUUGGUAGAAGUGCGUAGGUUGGGUUUUUGAUAUUGGCUUGGCUUUAUUCUUAUUUUUACAUAUAACUAGCAUAAACUUAUAGAUUUUUUUUUCAAAGUGGGCAAUUACUUAAGCAUAAAAUGAGCUAGUUACAUGGGAUGUCUAUAGAGAUCUAUUAUGGUAGCCCAAAAACCAGAGUGUACAUUCGUAGUGUGUGCAUUGUUCCUUGUACGAUAAUAUAUUCAUGCUUUCUGCAAAUUGAUUGCCUACUGUGAGUUAUAUUUUAAGUUUAUGUCUCGUUCUAUAUUUCAUGUUCCAUUCAUUUAAUGGAACUUAAAUCAUUUUUCUAAUCCUUGUCAUUUUGUUUCAUGUAAAUUGGGGAGUUAGAGUUUCAUUCGAAACUCGUCUUGACCCAAAGAUCGGGUCAACAACUACUAGGAUCGUCAGUGCUUGGAGUUCAUAUCGUAGGAGUUGGUUCUUUCAAAGGAAUUUAGCAUGUAUCAUCCUCACUUUUCUUUAUGUUUCUUAUUGUUCGAGUUCACUCCAUUUAUUGUGUUUCAUCGAUAUUGGCUCAAG
Molecule: long non-coding RNA, 3290 nt
Filed under: Capsicum annuum
Lineage: Eukaryota; Viridiplantae; Streptophyta; Magnoliopsida; Solanales; Solanaceae
Description: long non-coding RNA (CANN_LNC016198)
Source: RNAcentral